This 460-nucleotide ribosomal RNA is filed under the name uncultured bacterium. RNAcentral describes it as "partial 16S ribosomal RNA". It matches the Rfam family "Bacterial small subunit ribosomal RNA", at positions 338 to 795 of the family's 1533-position model. The record is from RNAcentral.
CCUACGGGUGGCAGCAGUGAGGAAUAUUGGUCAAUGGGCGCGAGCCUGAACCAGCUAAGCAGCGUGAAGGAUGACUGCCCUACGGGUUGUAAACUUCUUUUGUAAAGGAAUAAAGUGAGGCACGUGUGCCUUUUUGUAUGUACUUUAUGAAUAAGGAUCGGCUAACUCCGUGCCAGCAGCCGCGGUAAUACGGAGGAUCCGAGCGUUAUCCGGAUUUAUUGGGUUUAAAGGGAGCGUAGAUGGGUUGUUAAGUCAGUUGUGAAAGUUUGGGGCUCAACCGUAAAAUUGCAAUUGAUACUGGCAGUCUUGAGUACGGUAGAGGUAGGCGGAAUGCGUGGUGUAGCGGUGAAAUGCUUAGAUAUCACGAAGAACUCCGAUUGCGAAGGCAGCUUACUAGACUGACACUGACGUUGAGGCUCGAAAGCGUGGGUAUCAAACAGGAUUAGAUACCCGAGUAGUC